UACGUAGGGUGCAAGCGUUAAUCGGAAUUACUGGGCGUAAAGCGUGCGCAGGCGGUUUUGUAAGUCUGUCGUGAAAGCCCCGGGCUCAACCUGGGAAUUGCGAUGGAGACUGCAAGGCUUGAAUCUGGCAAAGGGGGGUAGAAUUCCACGUGUAGCAGUGAAAUGCGUAGAGAUGUGGAGGAACACCGAUGGCGAAGGCAGCCCCCUGGGUCAAGAUUGACGCUCAUGCACGAAAGCGUGGGGAGCAAACAGG
RNAcentral lists this ribosomal RNA (253 nucleotides) under uncultured bacterium. Its description in RNAcentral is "partial 16S ribosomal RNA". It matches the Rfam family "Bacterial small subunit ribosomal RNA", at positions 524 to 776 of the family's 1533-position model. The record is from RNAcentral.